Molecule: transfer RNA, 72 nt
Filed under: Promethearchaeota archaeon CR_4
Lineage: Archaea; Promethearchaeati; Promethearchaeota
Description: Candidatus Lokiarchaeota archaeon CR_4 tRNA-Cys
Rfam family: tRNA
About the family: Transfer RNA (tRNA) molecules are approximately 80 nucleotides in length. Their secondary structure includes four short double-helical elements and three loops (D, anti-codon, and T loops).
Source: RNAcentral
GCCCACGUGACCGAGCCGUUAGGUGCCGGCCUGCAGAGCCGGUUUGAGUGAGUUCAACUCUCACCGUGGGCU